Molecule: long non-coding RNA, 787 nt
Organism: Solanum dulcamara
Lineage: Eukaryota; Viridiplantae; Streptophyta; Magnoliopsida; Solanales; Solanaceae
Exons: 2
Source: RefSeq, a predicted model, not a curated record
CAAAGACAGAAGGACCAUCUUUAAGCUUCUCAACUCAAUCACCAUUGAAGGUAGGUAGAACUUUAUCUUAGUGUAUAGGAUGAUUUCUCACCAAAUUAAAAGCUUCACGUAGGUGAUAAGGUCGUUAGUUUCUAGGUAGAUUUCAUUUCAGUGGCCUCAAGCUCUCACACAGGCGUCGGAGUAUCCUCCAUCAACUAAGUACAACAAACCCGCCACAUUGACCAAUAACUGGUAAGAGCCUCACCCCUUUGUAUCGAAGAACCUCCUAUAUACCUGGAUCUGACCUUUCUUUUACUUUUUCUUAUUUAAUGGGUUGAACCCUUAUCGGAGUUAAUACCACCAUCAAAACAAAAUCCAGUAGCUGAAACGUCAGAUUUAACAAAGUCACCAACAAUACGACCACUGGUAAGCAUUUUGGGCUGAUGGUGUGGCUGUCUCCCCCCUUUUGGAGACUUCUCUGGAGUUUGCCUCUCAUCGUUGGAGUUGCUACUUCUGCUGACACAUUGGGAAAUGGCCUCAACUCAGGAUGUAACACCCUACAAGAAUACUCACUAUGACCUUGGAGAUUACACUCCCUACAAUAAUUUGGCAAAUAGUCGUAUUGAAUUUUAACAUUAUCUAUGCGAAUUGUUCUUGUCUUUUCAUUCAUGAUCUCCAUACGCACAAACUUCGGCAACUUAGAUGUCAAGUCCACCUGAACCUUGACCUUGCCACACCUAGGCCGAGUUUUAUUAAUUGUUGCCAAGUCUUAGUGCAAAGGCUUUCCUACUGCUGACGCUAACGAGAA